AACGCCCGGUCCCAUUCCGAACCCGGAAGCUAAGCCUGCACACGCUGAUGGUACUGCAACCGGGAGGUUGUGGGAGAGUAAGUCACCGCCGACA
This 94-nucleotide ribosomal RNA is filed under the name Corynebacterium kefirresidentii. Lineage: Bacteria; Bacillati; Actinomycetota; Actinomycetes; Mycobacteriales; Corynebacteriaceae. The record is from RNAcentral.